GACGAACGCUGGCGGCGUGCUUAACACAUGCAAGUCGAACGAUGAAGCCCUUCGGGGUGGAUUAGUGGCGAACGGGUGAGUAACACGUGGGCAAUCUGCCCUUCACUCUGGGACAAGCCCUGGAAACGGGGUCUAAUACCGGAUAUCACCCUCGCAGGCAUCUGCGAGGGUCGAAAGCUCCGGCGGUGAAGGAGGAGCCCGCGGCCUAGCAGCUUGGUGGUGAGGUAAUGGCUCACCAAGGCGACGACGAGUAGCCGGCCUGAGAGGGCGACCGGCCACACUGGGACUGAGACACGGCCCAGACUGCUACGGGAGGCAGCAGUGGGGAAUAUUGCACAAUGGGCGAAAGCCUGAUGCAGCGACGCCGCGUGAGGGAUGACGGCCUUCGGGUUGUAAACCUCUUUCAGCAGGGAAGAAGCGAAAGUGACGGUACCUGCAGAAGAAGCGCCGGCUAACUACGUGCCAGCAGCCGCCGUAA
This 478-nucleotide ribosomal RNA is filed under the name uncultured bacterium. RNAcentral's name for it is "partial 16S ribosomal RNA". It matches the Rfam family "Bacterial small subunit ribosomal RNA", at positions 28 to 523 of the family's 1533-position model. The record is from RNAcentral.